Long non-coding RNA from Homo sapiens (human), 1055 nucleotides. RefSeq lists it as uncharacterized. The transcript is spliced from 3 exons. The record is from RefSeq and is a predicted model, not a curated record. Lineage: Eukaryota; Metazoa; Chordata; Mammalia; Primates; Hominidae.
CUCCCACCCCCACCGCUGCUGGAAACAUUGAAAGACAUCUCAGCAAAACGAAGCUGGGCUAUAACGAGAGGGGGGUUUUCCUGAGCACGAACCAGAGGCCAGCAGAAUCUCAAUCAAUAUUCAAAUGCCAGAUGAGCUUGGCACCCCCAGAGGCCAUGUGUGGAAGAUGGCACAGCCACAAGAUGCAAGGGACCAGGAGCUCUGAAUAAGCACUUGGAGAAGAGCCACCUGCCAAUACAUCCAUUUUUGGACUUCAUAUGCUGGGUGAAGAAGGGAAUGAGACAGAAAGACUAGGCUUAGAGAAGCUGGUUAAGGAGGCUGCUGCAGUGAUCCAGGUGGGAAAUGGACCCAGAGCUGUCAACAGGGAUGGCAAGAAGUGGACAGAUCUGAGGCCUGGUUGAUGAUGGGCUGCGAGGAAAGAUGUGGGAGAUGUGGGGAGACAAAGGUCAUUCCUUGAACAUGCAGGUUGAAAUGACCAAGAAGUUUCCAGCUAGAGAAACAGACUUGUGAGUCAGCAGCAGAGAGAACCAAUGCACUCUCCCAGGAAGAGGGGUAAAUGGUGAGAAGAAAAGAGGGACUGGAACGGAACCCCAGAGGACCAGGGAGAGCUGCGCCCCAAAGGGACCAAGAAGAGCUGGUCAGAGAAGGAAGAGAAAGACCAGAAGCGCACAUUGUCAAGAACAUAAAGAAUGGUGGCUAGUAAGAGUCAACAUGUGUAAGAGGGUCAAAUUCUGGGAGAUGUAUUCACAGGCCACUGGUAACCUUGGCAGGGAAGAUGGGGUCAGUGCCUGGGGCGGGGCUGAAGUGGUGGUAAGAGCAGAUACCAUCUAACAGGGGCAACUAUUCUUUAUCUAUUUGUUUGCUCAUUCAGUAAAUACUUUAUACAUGAAACAGGGUGCUGUGUUCAGAGCUGUGGAUAAGAUGCCAACUCCGGAGGCCUUCACCCACUAAAAGGAGACAGAUAAUCUCGCCCACAUCACAAAACGAUGAGAUAUAAAUGCUAGAAUGAGGCUGGGUGCGGUGGCUCAUGCCUGUAAUCCCAGCACUUUGGGAGG